AAUCUACUCCCUCCGUUCCAAAUCACUCGUCCAGAAAUGGAUGUAUCUAGAACUAAAAUACAUCUAGAUACAUCCAUACCUGCAACAAGUAAUUCGGAACGGAGGGAGUACUUC
This is a non-coding RNA of Triticum aestivum (bread wheat), 114 nucleotides long. NCBI's taxonomy places the organism in Eukaryota, Viridiplantae, Streptophyta, Magnoliopsida, Poales, Poaceae. The record is from Rfam.